RNAcentral lists this long non-coding RNA (3007 nucleotides) under Populus trichocarpa (black cottonwood). RNAcentral describes it as "long non-coding RNA (PTRI_LNC000442)". Lineage: Eukaryota; Viridiplantae; Streptophyta; Magnoliopsida; Malpighiales; Salicaceae. The record is from RNAcentral.
ACAGGUCUGAAAAUCAAAGAAAUAAGGAUACAGAACGUGAGAGUGAUCACUACAAGUAAAACAGUCGCAGAGAGAAUGGGAAUAGGAAUUUCAUUACCUUAAUUUGGGAAAAUAUGUGCGAAAAGCACUGGUACUGAGUGCUCAAUGAAAUAGCGGGAGGAAGAAAAGGAGAAGUCCUUUAGCUCUGUAUGGAAUCCAGCUUCAAAAGCAACAAUAAAAUAGUUUAGAUGGAUUCUAACUGACUCUUGUUAGUUAAAGCAGUAGUUCCCAUUAAAAAUGCAUUUUGAUGACAUAAUUAAGAUCAUAUAGAGACAGUGACAAACCAAAAAGAAAGAAACGAGUGAAAGGUCCAGGAUAAUCUAAGCUAUGAUCGGUCAAGGUUUUUUUUAGUUUUAUUCUUUUUUUAAAUAAAAAAAAAACAGGAAAAGACUUGCAAAGAAAUAGAAUUACUGGAAUGAACACAAUAAAGGAUGAAACUCAAGCAAUUAAAAAUAAAUUAUCUAUGAUGAUCAUCUCUGUGUCACACUCAAUGAGGUAAUCAAAUAAUAAAAAAUAAAAUAAUGUGUAAAAGUACUCACCUAGCAAAGAAAGAAACGAAUGAAAGGUUCGGAUAAUCACUUAGACGUCUCCAUGGAUGAUACCAGCUCGCUUCCAACAACAAAUAUAAUUAACCUAAGCUGUGAUAGGUCAAAGUUUUUUUUAGUUUUCUUUUUUUUAAAAAAAGAAAAAAACAGAUCAACAAGAGAGAAGACUUGCAAAAAAGUAGAAUUACUGAAAGAAACUCAACAAAGAAUCAAACUGAAGUAAUUAAAAAUAAUAGUCUAUGAUGACCAUCUCGGUAUCACACAUUCAGGUAAUAUGAUUAACCUAUAACAAUAUUAGAAAAAAAAAAGUUAAUAGAUGGUCGCCACGUGUUCAACUUUAUCUACCCUUAGGAAAGGAUAGAAAGCGGGAGAGAGAGAGGUUAAAAGGCUUUUAAAAAAAAGAAAAGGAAAGACAGAAAUAAAAGAAAGGUUGAGACAAGAGAGGGACAAGGAAAUAGAAGGAGAAGUUUGUAAUAUAACCAUUUUAAUUUAAUAUUUUAAGAGAUUUCAGAAUAUGAUUUAUAUUAUUUUCUAAUACACCCUCUCAAGUGUUCUUUGGACUUUAAACUUGAACAGACCCACAUUACCCUGUGUUUAAUUUUUAUCAAAUAAAUAGGGAUGGUGAGAUUCGAACUCGUGAUCGUUUGGUCAUUAAAGCUCUGAUACUAUGUCAAAAAAUUAUCUCCACCUAAUAGCUUAAACUGUUUGGUGAGGUCCCAUGAUAUGAUUUAUAUUAUUCUCUAAUAAGGUUGAGGGAGGCAAAAAUAGAAGAAGACAUUGAAAGAUCGGAGGAGAGUAAAGAAAACAAUAUAAAUAUGUGAUGCUCGUUUAUCUAUUUGAUUGGGAUUUUUUUGUGUCUCUUUUAUUUGGAAUUCUUUGGACAUUUUAAUAAUAUAAUAACAAAAAAAUAUUAAAAUUAUUUUUAUUUUUUCAUGCUCUUAUAAGUAAUGUAGAAGAUGAGGACCUGAAAUCACGACAGCAAAUAAGAAGAGAAAUAACGUGUUUGUUUUUUUUAAAAAAAGAUAUCUUUAAAAAAAUUAAAUUUUAUUUUUACUUGAAAUUAAUUUUUAAAAAGCUAGUUUGAAAAUUAAUAUGAAAAAAAAGGAUAAUAGAGUAGUUGUCCAAAUCAAAACACAUUAACAUAGGACAAAAACAGGGAGAGAGGCUAUUUGUUUUUUUAACUGUAUUGGUUUAAUAAGGUUUAUAUAGUAUUUUAUAAAUAUUUUGGAUAAAAAUUUUAAAGGGUUCUAAAUUAUCUCUGUUACCUUCCCUUAAUUUUCUAGGCAAGUAAAAGGAGCUAAACUUAUUCCCGACCAAAACGUCAAGAAUUUCAGUGGAACAAAAAAAGAGAUCAUUACUUGACCAAAAACAACUAGUCAGCACCCAAAGAAACCGAGUGAAUGAGAGAAAAUUAAGGACUCAUAGCUAGAAAACAAUCAACAGAUCCAAGAAUUUUCUGUAUGGUUUCCAAGAAAAUGAAACGAAAUGAGCAGCACAACCCUCUUUCUCCUCCAAGAAAAGAAAGAAAAAGAAAGGAAAGAAACAAAGAUAGAAAGUCAAACUUGGCUCCUCUUUUAGUGUUAAAAAAAAAAAACAAAGAAGUUCGAGGAAGUGGGCAGCCUUUUUUCUGCUGUUCAUGUGGUGUUCUGCUGUUCACGCAGACUAAGAACUCCUACCAUCGUAAAAUCAUAUAAUUAAAACACAACAAUAAAAAAGUAAUAAGCAGCUAAUUAUGUGCCAAAAUCAGAGAAACAAGGAUACAGAACGUGAGAGUGAGUCAUUGCAAGUAAAAGAGGCGCAGAGAGAAUGGGAAUAGGAAUUUCAUUACCUUAAACUUGAGAAAAUAUGUGCGAAAAGCACUGGUACUGAUUGCUCAAUGAAAUGGAGAAGGCCUUUAGCUCUGUAUGGAAUCCAGCUUCAAAAGCAACAACGCAAGGGAUAAGCAUUUUGAUGACAUACUUAAGAUACUAUGCGUAAUAAUAUAGAGACAGUGACAAAGAAAUAAAGAAAAAUAAUAUGUACUCACCUAGCAAAGAAAGAAACGAAUGAAAGGUUCAGGAUAAUCACUUGGACGCCUCCAUGGAUGAUACCAGCUCGCUUCCAACAACAAAUAUAAUUAACCUAAGCUAUGAUCGGUCAAAGUUUUUUUUAGUUUUCUUCUUUUUUAAAAAAAAAAAACAGAUCAUCAAGGGAAAAGACUUGCAAAGAAGUAGAAUCAAUGGAACGAACACAACAAAGGAUCAAACUCAAGCAAUUAAAAGUAAUUGUCUAUGAGUACCAUCUGUGUCACACACUCAAGUGAGGAGAGAAAAGAAGGAGACAGAAAGGAAAGGGACAAAGAAGGAAGAAAGUAAGGUCACGUAGGGGCCAGCCUUGUAGAAAGAAGAGAUUAUUACGUGGCAAGUGCCGAGUGCCAAGUGACA